This 480-nucleotide ribosomal RNA is filed under the name uncultured bacterium. RNAcentral describes it as "bacterial SSU rRNA". It matches the Rfam family "Bacterial small subunit ribosomal RNA", at positions 25 to 518 of the family's 1533-position model. The record is from RNAcentral.
CAGGACGAACGCUGGCGGCGUGCCUAACACAUGCAAGUCGAACGGAGUUAAUGAUUUCGGUGUUAACUUAGUGGCGAACGGGUGAGUAACGCGUGAACAACCUGACCCAAAGAGGGGGAUAACAUUUGGAAACAGAUGCUAAUACCGCAUAAGACCACAACGUCACAUGGCGAAGGGGUCAAAGGAGCAAUCCGCUUUGGGAGGGUUCGCGUCCCAUUAGGUAGUAGGCGGGGUAACAGCCCACCUAGCCAACGAUGGGUAGCCGAGCUGAGAGGCUGAUCGGCCACACUGGAACUGAGACACGGUCCAGACUCCUACGGGAGGCAGCAGUGGGGAAUAUUGGGCAAUGGGCGCAAGCCUGACCCAAGCAACGCCGCGUGAGGGAAGAAGGUUUUCGGAUUGUAAACCUCUGUCGCAGAAGACGAAGGAAGUGACGGUAUUCUGUGAGGAAGCCCCGGCUAACUACGUGCCAGCAGCUGC